This 2928-nucleotide long non-coding RNA is filed under the name Mus musculus (house mouse). RNAcentral's name for it is "long non-coding RNA chr12:18863794-18866722". The record is from RNAcentral. Lineage: Eukaryota; Metazoa; Chordata; Mammalia; Rodentia; Muridae.
UAACUUAGGCAGGAGCCUGAGUUCCAGAAGCAUGAGGGAAUUGAUGCAUUCCUUGUCAAGUGAAUUAUCACCCUCCCAGGGUUUAGACCUCAGCUCAACUGAAGACCAACCUGUCUGUGCAUAGCCCAAUGCCCCUCAUGAAUGUUGAGUUCUCCCCCAGAGCUGGGAGGGGUGAGAGUCCUCUUGGGGGACUGGCUCAAAUGCUAAUGUAGUGCAAACCACACCUGAGGUAUGGAAAAGGUGUGGCCCUGGACAUGAAGCACACUUUAACCUUGAGGAAGGGUGAGACCCACUGGCCAAUCAAGGUCUCCACAGGCAGACCUGCCAGUCAGACAAGGAGGCGGGAUCUUCCAGGUGCCUUUCCCCAAGUUCACUUUGGCUGUGCAGGCUUGAAUGGUUCUGUGUCCUGCUCUGAGCUCUGCUGUUGGGUGCUGUGAGAGGACCUCAGGGAAGCUCUGAAUUCGAGGCACGGUGAGCACAGGGUUACUGCCCACAGAGGGUAGGAGCAGGGUGCUGAGCAGUGGAAGCUGGGGUGGUGAGUCCUCUCUGGGGCUUGAUGGGAAGUAUAAGCCAUAUGUGAGCACCUGUGAGGUCUCUCGUGUUGCUCCUCACUUGCUCCAUCAGGGGUGACCUCUAAUAACUUGCCUAUCAUUGCCCAAAUCGUUUGGACCUUAGUUAAGCUGGCUUGUGAAAACAAGGGUGGUUUCUUUGAGUCUGUAGCACAGGUGUCCAAACCCCUUUGUCUUUUAGUAUACAUUACCAAAACAAGUAAAAAUCUAAUAGGUCUGAUUUCAUACAUUAUACUUGUUUUUGUUUUCUUAAUUUUUUUUUCUGUUGCAGUUUUUUCAUAUUUUUUUGCAUCACAUGUUUAAUGAGUUGAUUAUUAUUUGGGAAAGGGACUUUAAUAAUUUCAGAAUUUUUUUGUGGUUUUAUUGAAAAAUGAUAGACCUCUGAGCUGAUAUUCUUCUAUUCCAAUCGUUUGUAAUUUUCGCCUUCACAUAUUUUGCAGAAGUCACAGUUGUUUAUUGCCAUGAAACUUUUAGAAUCCACAUUUUUUAAAUGAGAUAUUAAUUUUUUCUCUUCAUCUUGAAUCCCUGAGAUUCUCUCUUCCUUUCCUGUUCUGUGGGUGAACCUUGCCUCUGUAGUUGUCAGUGUACAGGUAAUCUCAUGUCCUUCUCUUAGGGACUUAGCAACUGCUUAUGUCAUUUCCUGCCUCCAUCCCCUGUGUCUGUUGUCAGGCGUGCUUUAUAUACAUGGACCACCAGCUAUAGCAGCUCUCUAUUUUUGUUCCCUGUCUCUGUUCUCUGCACAUGCACACUCUCUGUCAUCUCUCUCCUCAUGGCUCUCUUUCUCCUCCGUCUGUGUGCCUGUCUGCAGGUCGUCUUGUGUACUUCUAUCCCUUCCCCAGGUUCUCACUCCUCUCCCUUCCCCCAAACAACCUCUUUUGCACUUUAUCUGUUGCAUGCUUUAAUUUCUCAGACCUGCUGUGAUGGCAUAGCUUUGAUUUCUUGGUUGCAAUUGUUCCUGGCUGUUACUCUCUAUGUUGCUAUGCUGGUGUGUAGCCAUCUCUGUUUGGGUGAUUAUUGACCUAGGUACUGGCCUCUGGGUUUAUCGUUUUGGGUGGGAGUUUUGUUCCUGGGUUACUGUUUGAUGCAUGGAUUUGAAGAGAGUGUUCACUGACAGUUUCCUAUUUUACUGACCUAUUUUGUGGGUAUGGUCAACAGGGGAUGCUUUGUGAUAUUAAAAUCUGGGAGAAGCAACAGGCAGGAACAGAAGAUCUUAGUAAUCCACAAGGAGACAUAGACAGGAGAGAGGUCAAGCAGCCCAUGGUAUUUAAUACAAUGUUGGAACAACUGGGAAAAUUGAAUCUGGGGUAAAUCAAUCAAUCAUGAAGUUGAUCUAUGGAAGCUUACCUUGUGUCCUUUCAGGCAUGGAAUGUGGUUGAACAGGGAGUAUCUGCCCAAGUCGGGGCUGAGACACAGGGAUGAGGCAGGAAUGGAUAGGCAAGUGGGCAUUGUCUAUGGUAUCUAUAGGAGGCUUGCACAGGAGGAGAGGAAAUUUCCACUGCUACUCUUUUCCAGUGUUAAGGGCAGCUGAUAUUAGGGUCUGCAGUAACAGAUAGUGAGGUAGGUCUUUGGACAAAGUCUAGUCUACAGACAGGCAUGGUUGUGGUUAACCAGGAGUUUCUGUCUAUAAUCAGGGGGUUAGGAACAGAGAUGAGUUUGUAAACCCAAACAGUUUGCUUUUUGAGAAUGUACAUUUGUACAUUCCAGCAAAAAUCCCAUGACAAAAUCCCCUUAUCAACAGCCAGUUAAGGUACAUCAGCAGGGUCAGCUACAUAGAGAUAACUAAGACCUCCUAUAGAAAACAAAAACAGAAACAGCUUACCCAUUAUGGUUGUCAGAUUUUUUUUUUUUGUCCUCCCUUGCUUGGUUCCUGCACAUUAUGCCAGACGAUUUGUAUGCAAACUCCCCACUCUUGUUGUAACUACAAUAAAUACUCAAAACCUCUAGACUUGAUCUCUCAGUUUGUACCUAAUGGGAGUUUGACUGCUGAGAGUCCUUGUUACUGAGCUCAUAAAAAAGGCCUCUGUGUGUUUGCAUUGCAAUCGGCUCUGUGCUGGUCAUUGCAGUUUCUGUGAGUUGGGCAUAAAACCUUGCUGCUUUGACUGGAACCCCAAGACCCUCAGGACUCCCAUCUGAAGGGUUGAAAGACCGCUGUUAGGAUGUGUCACUGCUGUUCUUUGUGUCAGUGACCUGUCUGUCAGAAAUGUGUCCGUGUGCAUGGAGCUUAAUCAGUUGUUCCCAUAGGGUCUGGACGAUUGGAGUGUUGACAGUAAUGCAGCCACACGAAGUUGAGGUCAUACUAUUUCAGUGGAGAAUAGACUGAAAAACUUUAGGAAGAGGUCAUUUCCGUGAUAUUUUGGCC